This 506-nucleotide ribosomal RNA is filed under the name uncultured bacterium. RNAcentral's name for it is "partial 16S ribosomal RNA". It matches the Rfam family "Bacterial small subunit ribosomal RNA", at positions 30 to 523 of the family's 1533-position model. The record is from RNAcentral.
AUUGAACGCUGGCGGCAGGCCUAACACAUGCAAGUCGAACGGUAACAGGAAGAAGCUUGCUUCUUUGCUGACGAGUGGCGGACGGGUGAGUAAUGUCUGGGAAACUGCCUGAUGGAGGGGGAUAACUACUGGAAACGGUAGCUAAUACCGCAUAACGUCGCAAGACCAAAGAGGGGGACCUUCGGGCCUCUUGCCAUCGGAUGUGCCCAGAUGGGAUUAGCUUGUUGGUGGGGUAACGGCUCACCAAGGCGACGAUCCCUAGCUGGUCUGAGAGGAUGACCAGCCACACUGGAACUGAGAAACGGUCCAGACUCCUACGGGAGGCAGCAGUGGGGAAUAUUGCACAAUGGGCGCAAGCCUGAUGCAGCCAUGCCGCGUGUAUGAAGAAGGCCUUCGGGUUGUAAAGUACUUUCAGCGGGGAGGAAGGGAGUAAAGUUAAUACCUUUGCUCAUUGACGUUACCCGCAGAAGAAGCACCGGCUAACUCCGUGCCAGCAGCCGCCGUAA